UAGAGUUGUAUCUUCCUCCUCCUUUAUUUAUGCGCAACUACAAAGCACCUGCAGAAGUUUCAUUGCUACUGAGAGCAUGAAACAGUUUUGUCAAUGAGAAACGUACUGGCUUUGCAAUUUUCUGGCCUAAUAUGGAAGAGUAUCCUGACUGCAUGCAAGCAUUAUGGGGAAACCAAGGAACAGCAUGGAUUUGGAGUGAGAAGAUCCAGAUUUAAGUUAGGCUCUGCUGUUUGACAUCCAGGUAAACCAGCAUCUUCCCUGUCCUCCUCUGAAACAGCAAGACCUCCCCAGUAACAGCAAAUAAUCCCCAUGCUACCUUCUCUCCCAUUCUUUGGAUGGGAAGGCACUUGCCGAAGCCUCUCUGAAUUUGAAAGCCCAAGGGACCCACCCAAGUCCUGGGG
Molecule: non-coding RNA, 401 nt
Organism: Phascolarctos cinereus (koala)
Lineage: Eukaryota; Metazoa; Chordata; Mammalia; Diprotodontia; Phascolarctidae
Source: RefSeq, a predicted model, not a curated record